Molecule: ribosomal RNA, 742 nt
Filed under: uncultured bacterium
Lineage: Bacteria
Description: bacterial SSU rRNA
Rfam family: Bacterial small subunit ribosomal RNA
Source: RNAcentral
GAACGCUGGCGGCGUGCCUAACACAUGCAAGUCCAACGUGAAAGGGGAGCAAUCCCCCGGUAGGGUGGCAAACGGGUGAGUAAUACAUGGGUGAUCUACCUUAGGGAUGGGGAUAUCCUUCCGAAAGGAGGGGCAAUACCGAAUAUUGUCCGGAGCCGUGAAGGGUUCCGGGGAAAGGGAGGCCUCUGAUACAAGCUUUCGCCUUAAGAUGAGCCCAUGGCCCAUCAGCUAGUUGGUAGGGUAAAGGCCUACCAAGGCUACGACGGGUCGCUGGUCUGAGAGGACGACCAGCCACACUGGCACUGAGAUACGGGCCAGACUCCUACGGGAGGCAGCAGUGAGGAAUAUUGCGCAAUGGGGGAAACCCUGACGCAGCAACGCCGCGUGUGGGAAGAAGGCCUUCGGGUCGUAAACCACUUUUGCACGGGACGAAAAAGGGAUAUCGAACAAAUAUCCCCGAUGGCGGUACCGUGAGAAUAAGCCACGGCUAACUCUGUGCCAGCAGCCGCGGUAAGACAGAGGUGGCAAGCGUUGUUCGGAAUUACUGGGCGUAAAGAGUCUGUAGGUGGUUUGUCAAGUCUUUGGUGAAAGGACGUAGCUUAACUAUGGGAAUGCCAAAGAGACUGGCAGGCUGGAGGCUGGGAGAGGGAAGCGGAAUUUCUGGUGUAGCGGUGAAAUACGUAGAUAUCAGAAGGAAGGCCGGUGGCGAAGGCGGCUUCCUGGAACAGUCCUGACACUGAGA